CCUACGGGAGGCAGCAGUGGGGAAUAUUGGGCAAUGGAGGCAACUCUGACCCAGCAACGCCGCGUGAGUGAUGAAGGUCUUCGGAUUGUAAAACUCUUUAAGUGGGGACGAAGAUAGUGACUGUAUCUACAGAAUAAGCCUCGGCUAACUACGAGCCAGCAGCCGUGGUAAUACGUAGGAGGCAAGCGUUCUCCGGAAUGACUGGGCGUAAAGGGUGGGUAGGUGGUUUGACAAGUUAGUAGCGUACUUCCGGGGCUAAACUUCGGAACUACUACUAAAACUGUUGGGCUUGAGUGCAGGAGAGGUGAAUGGAAUUCCUAGUGUAGCGGUGGAAUGCGUAGAUAUUAGGAGGAACACCAGCGGCGAAGGCGAUUCACUGGACUGUAACUGACACUGAGGCACGAAAGCGUAGGGAGCAAACAGGAUUAGAUACCCUUGUAGUC
RNAcentral lists this ribosomal RNA (443 nucleotides) under uncultured bacterium. Its description in RNAcentral is "partial 16S ribosomal RNA". It matches the Rfam family "Bacterial small subunit ribosomal RNA", at positions 338 to 795 of the family's 1533-position model. The record is from RNAcentral.